Molecule: ribosomal RNA, 461 nt
Filed under: uncultured bacterium
Lineage: Bacteria
Description: bacterial SSU rRNA
Rfam family: Bacterial small subunit ribosomal RNA
Source: RNAcentral
GGGCCCGCACAAGCAGUGGAUUAUGUGGUUUAAUUCGAAGCAACGCGAAGAACCUUACCAGGGCUUGACAUGGAGACGACCGCACUAGAGAUAGUGCUUUCCCUUCGGGGACGUCUCACACAGGUGGUGCAUGGUUGUCGUCAGCUCGUGUCGUGAGAUGUUGGGUUAAGUCCCGCAACGAGCGCAACCCUUAUUGUUAGUUGCUACGAAAGAGCACUCUAGCGAGACUGCCGUUGACAAAACGGAGGAAGGUGGGGACGACGUCAAAUCAUCAUGCCCCUUAUGUCCUGGGCUACACACGUAAUACAAUGGCGUUUAACAAAGGGAAGCGAAACCGCGAGGUGGAGCAAAUCCCAAAAAGGCGUCUCAGUUCGGAUCGCAGGCUGCAACUCGCCUGCGUGAAGUCGGAAUUGCUAGUAAUCGCGGAUCAGCACGCCGCGGUGAAUACGUUCCCGGGCCUU